CUCAUCCUAAUCUCCUAUCCUCUUCUCCUAUUUUCUGCUCAAUACUAUCUUCAAAUCUAGGUAUUUCUUUGGUGUUAUUUUUUUGCUCUGCCUUCCCAUUAUCCCAUUUUCAGACUGUGUUUUUCUUUUUAUUUGCUGAAUACUAUCUUCAAAUUGUGUAAUCGCCUUUGCUUUUUUAGAGUUAUUAACUCAUUUUUUAUCGCCUUAAAUUGUGGGCUUUCACUAAAUCAUUGCUGCUUAUAUUUUAUUGGGCACUAUAGCUAGGGUUCUUCACUCAUAGUACAUUAUUUUUGUUGAAUUAAUCCAACCACUUAUUUAGUUUAUUUGUUGCUUUUUUAAUGUGCCCUCGAUUUGUUGUUUGUUGCUUAAUAGAUCAUAACCCAUUUAGUUUUUCCUGCAAAAAUCUAAAUUUAUUUCUGCGUGACUGUUGAAUUUCUUGUUCUAUUUGUGUUACUGAAUUGGGUAAGACCCAUUUGGUGAAUUUUCCUUGAAAGCGUGAAUUAUCCGUACGCUUUGCAUGCGAAUUUGUUGUUUUAUUUGUUUUGAUUGGUGAUAAUUUAGGAGGUUUUGAAUGAGGGACAACUGGACAAGAGUGUGUGAUGUGGUAAGAAAUGAAGUUUGGUGUUUUUGAGAGAUGGGGUGUGUUUUUGGGAAAGAGAAUUUGUCAUCUGGGCUCUUAUUGGCUAGGUUGUAGCUGGGAAUGGGAGAAGGAAUGAGGGAGAGAGAGAUUCGAUUGCAUCGUUGGGGAGAAGAGAGAAAGUAAUAGUUGGUUCAGUAAAUAAGGAGGAGGACCAUGGUAGAUACAAAGGCGGAGGGGGUGGUGAAGUUUAGAAUGGUGGAGAUCAAAAUGAGAAGCCGAAUGAUGGAAAUGUGCAUUAGUUGAGAGGUGAGAAGAGGAGGUCUAGGGCAAAUCCUCGGCUAAGUAAUCCCCCCAAUUUUGCUCUGCUUUAUUGUUUUAGAUAAAAAGCUUUUGAGGAAAAAAAAGAGUUAAGAUAUCUUUCCAAUUUUGUCCAUGUUCAACAGUAUGACUCAUUAUACUUGAGUUUUCAAGAGUAAGUCCCGUAGGAUUGUUUAAUAUCAAACAACAAAUUUUGUUUGUGAGAUAAAAAUGGUUUCUUUAUGAGGUAAUAGAAGGAUAUGCUUCAUGCCAUUAUCAGGAAGCCAUCAAACUAUGACCUUUAACUUGUGAACUUAUACUGAUUACUGAUUACGUUUUCUAUGUCGACAGAUGUUGACAUGUUUUGAAAAUUUUAACGUCCUCAUUAUAAAUUUACUUUAACAAAUGGACAAACUGAUGAGUAUGGACGACUUGCCUACUCAGAAUAGAAUAUUGAAUCAUAUUUCUUGGUUUGGAAUACUAAUAAUUGGAUGACAUAGAAGCUCUUUCUUUCUCAAUGAAGUGACAAAAUUUCAAUUAUUUCCAUCUCUUUUUUCUCUUAUCAUUUAUUGCCACUUCAAAAUGGAUGCCACAAGUCUGUUAUUGCUUACAGUCCAAGAAAUGAAACCUGCAUUAGUACUGACAUUAUCUUUGGCUUAUAUGCUUUGAUAUUGUUUACUUGUUUGUUGUAUAUUUGCUAAGGCACUUCAAGGUUUUCUACUGGAAAUAAUUUAAAACUUGAGCAGGUUAUUUUAGUGUUGCUUAACAUGUUAUGGCAAGGCACUUCUAAUAUGCUAUGUUUUCCCCGCAUUAUUCCUAUCAAUGGGUUAAUACUUUUGAGCAAUAUACUGGAUGUUGAAACCGAAACAUUUAACUUGAAGACUUUUGAGCAAUUGGUGGUAUGUGAUUAUAAUUAAAUACAUUAAUAUGUCCUCCUCAAAUCGCCUAUCGAAGGUGUUAUAUAUUUCUUGAUAAUUUGAUGUAUAUUCAAUAUAGCUUCAACAUGAGUGGUCACAGAGUUAGGAAUAAGGAACUAAUGUCUUGGUUGGACGAGAAUGAACAUGCUUUUAUCGAAAUUCUUUACGAGCAAGUGAAAUCAAAUGCAUUGCAAUGUUCUACAUUCACGAAAGACAAAUGGGGUAGGAUCAAUGAAAUCAUGAUAGCUUAUACAAAAAUAGAUAACAACAUAGAUAGAAUAAAGGAAAAGUGAAACUGCCUAUGUAAGAUUCAUCGCAUGAUCUUUGAACUUUUGGGACAUACAUGUGUUACAUGGGAUCCAAAUACAAACAAAAGUUAAUGUUGCAGAAGAAUUUUGGCAACACUUUUAUACAGUACAUAUAUUUUUUUUAAAGAAUAUUUUCGUCAUUAGUUUUUAUCUUAUCGAUUUUACAUUUUUUUGUUGGACACUAUGAUAAUAUGGCUUCUUUUUUCAAUGAUAGAUUAACAAAUCGGAUUACAAGAUGUUCAAGAGAGAAGAAUGUAAGCAAUACCACACUCUUGGGGAGAUAUUUAACAGGAUUAUAGUUACUGGAGGAUUAGGUAAUACCUCAACUUAGCUUCCAAACACACCAAAGGAAGAAAGGCAACAAGAAAAUGAUUUUUUGAAUAGAGGAGUGCAUGUAUGUACGAAAAAUGGUGAUGAAGUCGAUGAGGUUUCAAGUACUCGUCGACGUGAGGAAAUUGGUACAUUGGGUGAACGUUAACGUAAAGAACCUAAGAUUAGUAAAAGUGAUAAACUUCGAGGUCUGCAUGGCACAGUGGUCGUCUACAGCUAGUUUGAGGAAUGAAGAAACUAAACUUAGAAUACUUUACCUAAAAAAAAAAAGCUUGCAAAGAUCCAAGAAGAUCAUGUAAUCCAUUGGAUAAUGAAGUUAAUAGUCUGGAUACUUAUUCAAAUAUUAUUUGCUUGGACAUCUUAAUAUGGAAGGGGUGUCCAAUGAGAUUUAUAUGAAAGCAAUAAAGGCUUUUGAGAAUCCCGAUUUCAGGGUGUCAUUUGUGAAGAUGCUAGAAGCAAGGAGAGGGCCUAUCUUGGAACUACUUUGGUGUGACUAUUGCUUUAAUUUUUCUAGUAUCGUGUUGUUUUAAUUUGUGAUGUUGAAGGUUGAAGUGCUGUGUUAUUUUCACAACUUGAAGUAUUUUAUCUCCUUUCAUGGUGAUGUUGUACUAUUUUUAUUUACAAACUUAGUGAUGUUGUUGGUUGGAGAACUUAUGUUAAUUUUUCUUUAGUUUCUGAAUGCUUGAUUACUUGUUUUAUUUGAAUGAAUGAUGGUUGAUA
This 3152-nucleotide long non-coding RNA is filed under the name Olea europaea subsp. europaea. Lineage: Eukaryota; Viridiplantae; Streptophyta; Magnoliopsida; Lamiales; Oleaceae. The record is from RNAcentral.